Pelobates cultripes (western spadefoot toad) is the source of this 260-nucleotide non-coding RNA. The record is from the annotation of a GenBank genome assembly. NCBI's taxonomy places the organism in Eukaryota, Metazoa, Chordata, Amphibia, Anura, Pelobatidae.
AUACUGUCCCUUUAAGUCUUGGUUUGCUGUGCAUUUUUCAUGUCUGUUGCACCCUGUAUGUUGACUAAUACCUACUCUUGUGAAUCACUGACAUGGAUGAGAAAGCUAAAUUUAGUAUCCUUUGGAUGGUUGCUCCGAUCUCCUUGAUGACAGUUAAGGUCCGGUAGACUCUCCGAAGUUUAAGGUCAGAUUCAAAGUAUUCAAACUAGAAGUUUGCAUACAUACCUGACAAAUCCCAAUACUGGUCGCCAUGGUGUAGC